This 71-nucleotide transfer RNA is filed under the name Casuarius casuarius (southern cassowary). RNAcentral describes it as "tRNA-Val". The record is from RNAcentral. Lineage: Eukaryota; Metazoa; Chordata; Aves; Casuariiformes; Casuariidae.
CAAGGCGUAGCUAUAAAUCCAAAGCAUUCAGCUUACACCUGAAAGAUGUCCACAAACUAGGACCGCCUUGA